AUGGUUUCUUCGGGCAAGCGAACUAAGGAAGAUGGCGCAUCCUCGGGUGCGGCGGAGACGGAUCUGGCGGCAAUGAUGGAAGAAUUGGGUCUGAAGGAAGGCGAUCUCCAGGACGUAGUGGUGGAGGAUGAUGAACUUCCGGUAGAAGCAACCCACUGGAUGGCUCUGGCUAGGGUUCACACGGAGAAAUCUUACAGCCAGUAUUGGUUCUACAGGAACAUGAGGGUCGCAUGGGAUCUGGCGAAGGAAGUUAAAAUCAGACCUCUGGAGGAUAACUUGUAUACGUUGCAGUUCGCGUGCCUUGGCGACUGGGAGCGUGUAAUGGAGGAGGGCCCGUGGACUUUCAAGGGCAAAGCGGUGAUCGGCACCCUAUGA
Molecule: ribosomal RNA, 375 nt
Filed under: Triticum aestivum (bread wheat)
Lineage: Eukaryota; Viridiplantae; Streptophyta; Magnoliopsida; Poales; Poaceae
Description: partial small subunit ribosomal RNA
Source: RNAcentral